UACGAAGGGGGCUAGCGUUAAUCGGAAUUACUGGGCGUAAAGCGCGCGUAGGCGGCUUGUUAAGUCGGAUGUGAAAUCCCUGGGCUCAACCUAGGCAUUGCAUUCGAUACUGGCAAGCUAGAGUAUGGGAGAGGAAGGUAGAAUUCCAGGUGUAGCGGUGAAAUGCGUAGAGAUCUGGAGGAAUACCGAUGGCGAAGGCAGCCUUCUGGCCUAAUACUGACGCUGAGGUGCGAGAGCAUGGGGAGCAAACAGG
RNAcentral lists this ribosomal RNA (253 nucleotides) under uncultured bacterium. RNAcentral's name for it is "partial 16S ribosomal RNA". It matches the Rfam family "Bacterial small subunit ribosomal RNA", at positions 524 to 776 of the family's 1533-position model. The record is from RNAcentral.